Molecule: long non-coding RNA, 386 nt
Filed under: Sinocyclocheilus rhinocerous
Lineage: Eukaryota; Metazoa; Chordata; Actinopteri; Cypriniformes; Cyprinidae
Description: lncRNA (ENSSRHG00000044920.1)
Source: RNAcentral
GUUUCACAUCCAGAUGAGCUGUUUUCGGUGCCAUGGGGAGUCCAAGGAGAAUAACAAAUCUUCUCAUAUUUUCGACAACAGCUGAUAGCGCAAUCCGCAAAUGACUUUGUACUUCAUAAACCCUUAAUACAACAAGACUGCUAAUUUGCUGAGAGACUGGGAUUUUGAUGGAGAGACAUGAGGAGCCGCUUUUCCUUCAGUUGAGGGCAAACACACAGAUGUACGGAUAGCAAGACCGAAUACAACAGCAUUAACCGUGGAAUUAUUGCUAGCAUGAAAUUUUGACUGCAAAUUGACUGUAAUUAAAUUAUUAUAUAUUUCUGUAUUCUGACAAAACCAAGAUUCAUUUGAGAAUCAAAUAUUAAAAUAAAGCUUUUUUGACUGCA